UAGCUUAGAGGACUUCCAUCAGUUGAUGUUCCUGGACUUGUAUUGACUGCAUAGACACUGUGGGCUUGGUGAUGUACUGGCAAUACCAAGAACCUUCUCCUUCAAUGAAGUUGCAGCUGAGUGUGCUCCUGUCUUGCAAGCAACCUAGCUUAGAGGACUUCCAUCAGUUGAUGUUCCUGGACUUGUAUUGACUGCAUAGACAAAAUGACAGGGUCUGGUAAUCUUCUGCUCUCAGGAAUGAAAAGGGACAAGUCUUCCGUCUUCACAAUAUACAAAAAUGGUCGACAACACUAUGGUUAUGAAUGUA
Strongylocentrotus purpuratus (purple sea urchin) is the source of this 307-nucleotide long non-coding RNA. RefSeq lists it as uncharacterized. The record is from RefSeq and is a predicted model, not a curated record. The transcript has 3 exons. Lineage: Eukaryota; Metazoa; Echinodermata; Echinoidea; Camarodonta; Strongylocentrotidae.